AACGAACGCUGGCGGCAUGCCUAACACAUGCAAGUCGAACGAGACCUUCGGGUCUAGUGGCGCACGGGUGCGUAACGCGUGGGAACCUGCCCUUAGGUUCGGAAUAACUCCCCGAAAGGGGUGCUAAUACCGGAUAAUGUCUUCGGACCAAAGAUUUAUCGCCUUUGGAUGGGCCCGCGUUGGAUUAGCUAGUUGGUAGGGUAAAAGCCUACCAAGGCGACGAUCCAUAGCUGGUCUGAGAGGAUGAUCAGCCACACUGGGACUGAGACACGGCCCAGACUCCUACGGGAGGCAGCAGUGGGGAAUAUUGGACAAUGGGCGAAAGCCUGAUCCAGCAAUGCCGCGUGAGUGAUGAAGGCCUUAGGGUUGUAAAGCUCUUUUACUCGGGAUGAUAACGACAGUACCGGGAGAAUAAGCUCCGGCUAACUCCGUG
RNAcentral lists this ribosomal RNA (433 nucleotides) under uncultured bacterium. RNAcentral's name for it is "partial 16S ribosomal RNA". It matches the Rfam family "Bacterial small subunit ribosomal RNA", at positions 29 to 507 of the family's 1533-position model. The record is from RNAcentral.